Molecule: unclassified non-coding RNA, 531 nt
Filed under: Hevea brasiliensis (rubber tree)
Lineage: Eukaryota; Viridiplantae; Streptophyta; Magnoliopsida; Malpighiales; Euphorbiaceae
Source: RNAcentral
UUAUCAACUUACAGUAAUUUUAAUAACUCACUCGAUCCCCAUCAGGUCGGUUGUCUUUUUUUGUUUUUAAUUUAAUUUUAAUUUGAAAUUUAAAAUUAAGAAAUCACAAUCUUUAACAACUUUGGUGCCAUUGAACUAAAGAUUAUGGAGAGAUUGUAAGGAAAAGACAUUACUAGAAGGGACCAUUCAUUAAUAUUGUGCAAAUUUCAAUACAAAUAUUUAAUUUAAUAAUUUUUAAACUCAUUUUUAUAUAAAUUCUAACCCAAGAAUUACGAGAUCUCCCCUUUCAUUCGUGGGCGACAGAGAGAUCACAGCAUUUGAGCCUUUCUUCAUGUUUUUGCUGGAGGUCUAGAGAAAGCUGUAAUCAAAGUAAAUUUCUUUUUCCUUCUCGCAGAGAUCAAGAGAUUAAAUCUAGCUGUAAAAAGAAUGUUUAGUUGAUAAAUAACUCACUUCUUAGCCUAUAUUAAAUGGAACCGAUUCAAAAUGCAUCACCUGUUGCCAUCACCAACAGCACAACAAAUGAAUUAAUGU